This 274-nucleotide ribosomal RNA is filed under the name uncultured bacterium. RNAcentral's name for it is "partial 16S ribosomal RNA". It matches the Rfam family "Archaeal small subunit ribosomal RNA", at positions 473 to 747 of the family's 1478-position model. The record is from RNAcentral.
AAACCAGCACCUCAAGUGGUCAGGAGGAUUAUUGGGCCUAAAGCAUCCGUAGCCUGUUCUAUGAGUUUCCGGUUAGAUCCACUAGCUCAACUAGUGGGCUGCCGAAAAUACUGUGGAACUAGGGAGUGGGAGAGGUAGACGGUACUCGGUAGGAAGGGGUAAAAUCCUUUGAUCUAUUGAUGACCACCUGUGGCGAAGGCGGUCUACCAGAACACGUUCGACGGUGAGGGAUGAAAGCUGGGGGAGCAAACCGGAUUAGAAACCCGGGUAGUCC